RNAcentral lists this ribosomal RNA (475 nucleotides) under uncultured bacterium. Its description in RNAcentral is "partial 16S ribosomal RNA". It matches the Rfam family "Bacterial small subunit ribosomal RNA", at positions 30 to 506 of the family's 1533-position model. The record is from RNAcentral.
UUGAACGCUGGCGGCAUGCUUUACACAUGCAAGUCGAACGGUAACAGGUUAAGCUGACGAGUGGCGAACGGGUGAGUAAUGCAUCGGAACGUGCCCGAUCGUGGGGGAUAACGCAGCGAAAGCUGCGCUAAUACCGCAUACGAUCUGAGGAUGAAAGCGGGGGACCGUAAGGCCUCGCGCGAUCGGAGCGGCCGAUGUCAGAUUAGGUAGUUGGUGGGGUAAAGGCCCACCAAGGCGACGAUCUGUAGCUGGUCUGAGAGGACGACCAGCCACACUGGAACUGAGACACGGUCCAGACUCCUACGGGAGGCAGCAGUGGGGAAUUUUGGACAAUGGGCGCAAGCCUGAUCCAGCCAUACCGCGUGAGUGAAGAAGGCCUUCGGGUUGUAAAGCUCUUUCAGCCGGAAAGAAAUCGUGCAGAUUAACACUCUGUAUGGAUGACGGUACCGGAAGAAGAAGCACCGGCUAACUACGU